CAUUGUACAGACCUACAGACGUCGAUGUCGCUUCCAGAGGUUCCCGUUCCGUAGGUCCGUUCCCUCCGCGCACAUCGUCGCGCACCAGCGUCGGCUCAGUCCGAUAUCGACGUUCGUGCGAGGCGCAUAUUCAAGCCCACACCGAGCCAGCCACACGCGCGGUGCGCGAAAUAUAUAUUUUACGCGGGCUUCUGCCGUUCUCGUCGUCGCUUCUCGCAUUUCCUGCUGACGGAACCACGUCGGAGUAACGUGAGGCAACAAAAACGAGGAAACGGACACUUGGCCACGGACUUGGCGGGUGAAGCGGAGGAGCGGUACACAUGGGUACCAAACGCCAGGGAAGUCUCGCUCUUCAACGGCACACGCGCGUCCGCGGCGACGUCAGUCCGACCCGUCCGAGGAUCACCGAGUUUAAAUAAUAAAUUAAAUAAUAAACCCGAUAACAGAAUUUUCCCGAGGUCUCGUAUCAAAUUCUGAAACAACGACGGCGACGACGUCGAGAGGCGCAACGUCUUCCUCGGAGUCAUCCAGCCGAGGAAGAUCAACUACGAUGCUGACCUCGUGACUUCCGACCACAUCGAUUCGCAAACGGCAGCGACUUAAAGGAAUACGACUCAUGAGGCAGGAAGACUAUACCGAUAUACGCCGAUUUCGACUCGAAGCUGAAGAGGGCUUUUCGUUUAAGGGCUGCCGAGAACACCCUCUGUGAACAUCGAGGCUACUUGAAAUCCCGAACGUCGCGUCGUGUGUCACCGUUGCUUCGAGAAGCCAGAAAUCAGCGGAGCCUCUCGUUCCUCUUUCUUUCAUCCCUUCCUCUCUCGCUCUUAUUUCUCUCUUUAUCUCUCACUCUUUUGUCUUCUCCUCUCUAACGCUCUCCCUCAUUUCGGUAUCCACUUCCGCGCGCGGAGUGUCGAUCGAUAUUUCGUCCCGACGGCGGCUAUUAACGACACGCGUACUUUCAUUCGCUCCCUCUCUCACUUCGUUUUUCACGCUACGAUUGCUUCCAAACGUAAAACGUUAGGUGCGCCGCAACCCCCUUGCGACCCCCGUCGCUUCUUCCGUCAAUGUCGGGUAGCGCGCGUUGAAACCUCGCGCGGCCGUGGCGAUAUCCUCCGAACCCGCGUUCUGGGUCGUCGAUAUCCUUCGACGGCGAGGACUUGUGUGACACGUGACCCGCGGGGCCCACCGGACUUCCCUCGCAACUCAUCGUAUACAUCGCGUCAGCCGGCGCUCGAUUUUUAUCGGGUCACCUACGUGCCACCCACUCCGUUUCGCGAAUAGGUCCUAGCCUAUCCUAUGACGUAUCCUUCCUCGUACCUCGCACCUUUGCCAUCCUGGCCGCAGCCCACUUCUACGCGGCCGCGUAUGCGUCCGCAAACAGUCAAUAAGGAGUACCGUCGGGGCACGUACCGGAGAGAGAGACGAACGGAACUCGGAUAAAGAACCGUUCCUUUCAUCGCAGAAUUCGUAAAGAAGGGGUGUACGCUUAAUAUUAAGAAACGAAUUGUUGCCGGUUACUCCUUGAGGAGGGAAGGACCGAUCUCAGUAUUUUUUUCGGACGCGAUAGUGCGGACGCUGUUGACCUUACAAAAUAAAUAGUGAAGAUAACUACUGUUGCUAUUGUUAUUGUUAUUGUUGUUAAUUAAACAUUAUUGUUAUCCCCCCCUGUUAUCGCUGCACGCUCGCUGCCCAUCCGCUCCCGUUGAAGUCAACGAGCAGAGCGCGGCGGUGGUAGUGGUAGUAAUAUAACAGUGAAGGGUUUUCGCGAGGUUUCUCGCGGACGCCAAGAUACGCGUGUUCCUGCCAAAUCGCGUCGAUAAUUGAUUUUGAAGAGCGGGAGAUCGUCAAUUCGUGUAUAUACACGGGGAAAAGGGGAAAUAAACGAGUGGGCAGGAAGUGGAGAAGAGAGAAGUGGCACGUGGAGUCGCGCAGGUGUGCCUGGGCGCGAACAAACACGAAAAGAGUGUGCUAAAGAUCUCAAUUAAGUCACACCACCCGCCGGGAGGAGUGAUCGAUUCUUUGUGUACCCAUCGAGAUCCACGGGAGAAUGGUAGUCGAGGCCGGAAGAAAUGGGCACGAGCUGGCUCCCUUGAACAACCACCGCCAACCCGGCCACAACGUGACGAUCGUCGCGACGGCAAGUCAAAAUGUUGGCCAGGAGACGAAGGAGGAGAACCGGGCGGCGUGGAGCGGAAAAAUGCAAUUCUUUCUCAGUAUUAUCGGAUACAGCGUUGGCCUGGGCAAUAUCUGGAGGUUUCCUUAUCUGUGCCAACAGAACGGAGGUGGUGCCUUCCUCAUUCCUUUUUUCGUGAUGCUCAUCUUGGAGGGUGUACCCCUCUUCCUGAUCGAGCUGGGUCUCGGACAACGUAUACGGCAGGGUGCCCUCGGUGUUUGGAACACAAUACACCCUUGGCUAGGCGGUAUAGGGAUCGCGUCGUGUAUAGUGACGUUUUUCGUUGUGCUUUACUACAACGUAAUUAUUACCUGGUGCGUCUUCUACCUCUUCAACUCGCUCGAGGCUGUCACGAUCAAAUUUGGUAAACCACUGCCAUGGGAAAAUUGCCCAAAGGAAUCGGACGGGAAACUGGUCGAGGAAUGUGUCAAGAGUUCGGAGACCGCGUAUUUUUGGUACAGGACUACCUUGGACGCGGCACCAUCCAUUGAUGACGGCCAAGGUCUCAAGUGGUGGAUCGUACUUUGUCUCUUGUUCAGUUGGACCAUUGUGUUUUUCAUCGUCAUGAAGGGAAUACAAUCGUCCGGCAAAGUGGUAUAUUUUACGUCCAUGUUCCCGUAUCUGGUACUGACCAUCUUUUUCAUCCGCGGGAUAACAUUGAAGGGUGCGAGCGUUGGACUGGCGCACAUGUACACGCCAAAGGUCGAGAAAUUGUUGGAUCCCAAGGUCUGGCUUGACGCGGCGACCCAGGUCUUCUAUAGCUUCGGGCUGGCGUUCGGCUCCCUGAUCGCUUUCGGCAGCUACAACACACCCAACAACAACUGCGUGAGGGACGUGAUCCUGGUGAGCGUGUGCAACGCGUUUACUGCCAUUUACGCGAGCGUUGUCAUUUUCGCCAUUUUGGGGUUCAAGGCAAUGUCAAACGUGGACAAGUGCGUCGUCAGCGCCCUGAUACAAGAUGGGCUGUUGGAUAAUUCGACCUCGUUCAACCGUGAGGACUACGAUCUCAUUAUUUCCAACUCCUCGGAGGCCAUAAAGGCAAUGAACAUCACAUUGAGAUGCAAUAUCAGCAACGAAUUGGACAACGCUGCCGAGGGCACCGGACUGGCUUUUAUCGUUUUUACCCAGGCGAUCGUGGAACUACCGGGCGCGCCGUUUUGGUCCUGCAUUUUCUUCAUGAUGCUUCUAGCCCUUGGCCUGGGCUCACAAAUCGGACUACUCGAGGGUAUGCUCUGCGUAAUCUUCGACAUAGAUCUUUUCAAGAGAAUAAAGAAGCAAUACGUGACAGGAGUUGUCUGUGUCACAUGCUUUUUCGUGGGGCUCAUCUUCUGUACCGGCGCCGGGGAGUAUUGGCUGAAGAUGUUUGACAGCUUCGCCGGCACCAUCGGUCUCGUUAUAAUCGCCCUGAUGGAAAUGCUCUCCGUGAUUUUCGUGUACGGCCACGAAAAAUUUACGAAGGACAUCGAAGAGAUGACCGGAUAUAAACCUGGGCCUUAUUGGCAAAUUACGUGGCGAUUUCUCGCUCCUAUAAUAAUGGUCUGCAUCCUUCUGUUCAGUAUCGGUUCCAUGAUCAUCGAGAAACCGCAAUAUUCGGCGUGGAAUGCGGCAACGGGUAAGGCAGUGCUCACGAGUUAUCCUGGCUGGGUGCUGGGGAUCGCCGUCGUCAUUAUUUUCGCAGGUGUCGCUCCGAUUCCCAUCGUUUUCCUUUUACGUCGAUUCCAAUUGGUAAAACUCGACGUGGAUAUACAUCAAGGCAGUAUUCGACGUAUCGACACCACCGUUUCUACUAAAGAAAUGAUGGGCGACGUUGACUUGUAGGUAAGCAUCCAUUCUGUCUGUGGUAACGUCGAUUACUCGAUAUCCCCGUAGCUACGUUACACCUUGACGAGUAUCACGAUCGGCUCGAGGACUUCCCGGAAGAAGAUGAAGAUAUUAAUAGCGACGAUGACGCGCCGAAUACCG
Temnothorax curvispinosus is the source of this 4135-nucleotide RNA transcript. It is a transcript of the gene named sodium- and chloride-dependent transporter XTRP3, with no coding region annotated. The transcript has 13 exons. NCBI's taxonomy places the organism in Eukaryota, Metazoa, Arthropoda, Insecta, Hymenoptera, Formicidae. The record is from RefSeq and is a predicted model, not a curated record.